GGAUGUUGAACAAGUUAAGCAGUAAAGUCAAGUUUGUCAACAUUUUUGCCUCUUCUGACCGUUUUUGCUACUUUUACACCAUCGUUUUGUUUCUGAUGAUUUACGCGCCUUUUUUAAUGUCAAACAUGAGAUGAAGGAACUAGCAAAAACAAAGAACAAAAGAAAGCGAAAAAAGAAGGAAAUUAUCUGAGGAUCUUGGAAUCAGAUGUCGAUACAAUCUUGAGAUCUUUCUGAUUCCAAAUACCAAUGUUUCACCAUUGCUGGCUUUUUGGCAUUUCAAAACAAAAGUUACAUUUCCUCAGUUAUCUUGUCAUUUUCACCUUUUUAUUUUCACCAAAUUGCUUAGAUUCAAUUAUGGUUAACAUGAUUUUGACUAAUUAUAUUGAGCAUCAUUCAGUGAUAAUAACAUCAUUAAACUGAGAGAAGGAUCAACGACAAAAUCAAUGUUUAUUUGAUUGACUACCUGAUCUCAAAAGUCAAUAUUGACUCAAUAUGGCUGACUGGCUGUUAAUUUUUUUUUUGCUAACCUGUUGAUGGACAUAUAUUUAUCUACACAUAUUGGUGUAGCAGGAGAUGCAAUAGAUAAUUGGCAGAUUUUUCCUGAUCUUGACUUGCAAAGUUGUUACAUCUUCUGUCAAACUGCAAAGUUGCCCAAAACAACUGCAUGCUGUUUAUGUAUCAACAUCAUCAUCUUCAUCAGCUAAAAUGUCUAUUUUGGCUCCUUCACCUUCUUCAAAGCACACAUACGUACACACACACAAACACACACACACACCAUCUUCAUUAUCAUCAUCAUCUUUCUUCCUUUAUCCUGCGGCAAUGAUUGCCAAUCAAUUUUAUCCUUCACUUUGUCCCUCUUCAUGAUGAUGGCCUCUUUAGAGACUCUCUCAACUGUCAUCCACUCGCUAACCUUACCCAUCUCAUCUUCAUAAUCUUCUCUUUCUUCCUAGUCUCUUUUAAAUUAGUUUGUAAUUAGUGCUACUUUAAUUUGUAACUCUCAAUUCUGAAACAUCUGCUUCUUUCUGCUCUUUUUUUCCUGUCCUCUGAUUUUCUAGUAAUUUAAAAGCCGCGCGCGUAUAGCCUUUUAAAAAAAAUUAGACGAUGGCAAAGAUUAGUAGCAGAAACCAAAGUCAAAGUGGAAACAUGUUUUUUUACCUUCACUUUCUUUUUAUUAUGAUUAUCCAUUUUAAUUGUAAUCGUUUAUCUUUUACAUCGACUAUUGCUCAACAAAUUAACAUAACAAUCAAUCUGUAACACAGUCAACAACAUUGGCAUAAACAUUUAUAUAUCUGUGUUGAACGCUCGAUUGAACCAAAACAACAAAAUCUCAGCUUAACCAUGUUUUUUACCAAGGAAAAACCAAGAGGAAGAAGGCGAUGAUGAUGGAGGAAAGGAGAGAAAGAUGAAAGGUGAUGUGAUUCUUUACCUCAUUUUUUUGUGUUUGACAGAAGACUUGUAGGAGCGCAAAAUUGGUCGAUGACACCGAGAAACCAUGAAAAUUUGGUUUGAAACAUUUCUUGGUGUGAAGGAGAGGAGAGAGGUAAAAUGAGUUUACCUGUUGGGGUCGGUUGCGAGGCGCUAAAUUUACUCAAUUAUAUUUUAUCAAUCAAGAAAUGUUAAUCAAUGUUCGGUAUUCCGCAAGUGAUGAAGGUUAAUUGUUGAGCUGAAUCUGGAAAAAAAAGGUUAAAGAUGGAAAAGUUAUUAAUGCAAAAGGAUGGAAAAGACUUUGUCUGGUUGUUUUUUACAAUGUUAUUUAUAUGGAUGAACGGAUCAUUUAGCGAUGCGAUUUUCACCGAUCCCACGAAACUUGAUGAGGAUAGAAAAGUAGACAACGAAGGAAAAAAAUAGAAAGAGACACAGACAGAGUGGUUAAUUGUGAAACACUAGUGUGGCCACCAUGGAAAGGAAAGUAAAGAUUGAGGAAAAAAAGGCUACAAAAGUUCAAGGCUCAAUUAACCUGGAAAUGUAAUGAAUGAUGGAGUUAUUAUCAUUCCCAUAGACAGGCAAGGUUAAAGCAAAGGAACGAUAAACAAGUCAAAAGGCAACCCAAGUCUUGGUAAAAAGCUCAGGCUUAAUCCAUGUUUACUCGCAAUACAUUUAAUAGCUGUUGUAAACUGUUUUUGGUGCAUUUGCUGAUAAAAAUGAUGGAGAAAGGCAGAAAUACCAGAUUAUCAUCAUUUCAUAGUUUUAUUUGUUGAUUGUAAAGAAAGCAUCUUUCUGUUGAUGAACACGAAAUGAAAGCCUCUGAGUUAUCAUUUAUCUGUCACCUUUUCAAAUCUUCCUCUUCCUUCUUCUUCCCUCUAUUUUUUACAUCAUCACUAUCAACGGUAUUUUCAGAUAGUUUAUGCAUCAUUGGAAUGACGUAGGAAUAAGCUGUCAACAUAAAGGAAAGCAAAAUAUUAAGGUAACAACAAUACCAAGCUCAAGCCAAAAACAUUUAUCACUUACAUUUAGACUCAAUUAAUUUGUUGCCUUUUCACCCCUUUGAGUGUUGUUUCCCUUUCCUUUCAUCAGGUACACAUUUUAUCAUGAAAUUUACGUGUUUAACACCUUUUAUUUGGUUGGUGUUUGAUAAAAUACCUUUUUACUUUCAUUCAAUCAACUCAAGUUAUAAUUAUACCAACCAAUCCAAACCUGAACCAGAAACCCUUUCAAAACAUUCAACCAUUUCAACUGCUUUCAUUUUUAACCUCUCAAUCCAAUUAUUUAGAUUCAAUGCUUCUCAAUGUUCAAGUUUCAUGAGGAGAAGAGUUAAGACUUUUUUUUGUGCUUCUUUAUAAAUAAUUUAUUCAGAUUACCUUUUUUUUCUGCUGGAAAAAUCAUAAAACACAAGACAAGAGUCUAAUGAGUACGAUAAUGAUUAUGAUACUAUUUGAUUGAUAUGAUCAAGUCAUUUGAUAUCGUCAUCAUUUCCAUGCUGCAAUCGUCAGCAUGGAGUGCAAACAAACGUCAAAUGAAUAACUUGUAUUACACGUCAAAUUAACAGUAAUAAGAUGCUAAA
Molecule: non-coding RNA, 3001 nt
Organism: Tetranychus urticae (two-spotted spider mite)
Lineage: Eukaryota; Metazoa; Arthropoda; Arachnida; Trombidiformes; Tetranychidae
Source: RefSeq, a predicted model, not a curated record